RNAcentral lists this ribosomal RNA (498 nucleotides) under uncultured bacterium. Its description in RNAcentral is "partial 16S ribosomal RNA". It matches the Rfam family "Bacterial small subunit ribosomal RNA", at positions 29 to 507 of the family's 1533-position model. The record is from RNAcentral.
AGCGAACGCUGGCGGCGUGCCUAAUACAUGCAAGUCGAACGUAAAAAGGGAAACCUUAGUUAUCUGGCGUACGGGUGAGUAACGCGAAUGAAAUCUACCUCAGAUUCUUGUAUGACUUGCCUAAAGGCGGGCUAAUACUGCUUAGAGCGAGUAAACUCGUAAGACAGAUUUUCCGAAAAGGGAGGCCGGAAUUGCCUUCGCUUAUAGAUGAACCCGCGCCUCAUUAGCUAGUUGGUAAGGUAACGGCUUACCAAGGCGAUGAUGGGUAGCUGGACUGAGAGGAGGGACAGCCCACAUGGAAACGGAGAACGGUCCAGAAUCCUACGGGGGGCAGCCGGGAGGGAACUUGCGCAAUGGGGGAAAGGCCGACGGAGGCAAGCCGCGUGAGGGAAGGAGGCCUUCGGGUUGUAAAGCUCCGUCGGAUAGGAAGGACAUCAUGAUAGUGAAUAGCUGUGAGGAUUGACGGUACCAAAACAGAAAGCACCGGCUAACUCCGUG